Molecule: long non-coding RNA, 613 nt
Organism: Mytilus californianus (California mussel)
Lineage: Eukaryota; Metazoa; Mollusca; Bivalvia; Mytilida; Mytilidae
Exons: 4
Source: RefSeq, a predicted model, not a curated record
AAGAUUAUAAUGCAUGAUAUGGCAUUAUUAUAUAAAAUAUGCAUUUUUAUUGUUUCUGUGCAGACGUUUCAGUUUUAUGUUUCAGGUGCCUCAAAGAAUAGUAAUGAAAACAUUAACCAAAUCAACGAGAGUUUAGUUAUUGGUAUCUUUACUGGAAUAAUGAUCUGUAUGAGUUGUUAUGUUGUUACUGGAUGGAUUGUUGACAUAGUUAGAAAAAGGCAUGUAUUUUGUAAGCGUAUCUCGACAUCAGAUGACAAUAACGAAUACAGUUAUGCUAGGACAAGCAGAGAGAACGUGCGCCACACAGACUACGUUGAUCUACAAACUCUACACUCACAAGUUAGAUCUGGAAAUGGGAAUGACUUGUCAAAUGGAAAGACGUCCUCUGAAUCACAGAACAUCGACAUGAAAGAUAAAAAUGGUAUGGUCAGCACGUACAUGGAUAUGUCUGGAAGCGCAGGACAUUAUGAAAAUAAUGCUUCUUUAUAUGUGGACGUUCGUCUUUGAAUCUCUAAAAUGAUUUCCGACAUUAGUCUUCUUAUCUUUAUAUUUGAAGUAAAUAAAUUUUAAAAAAGGUUAAGAAGUUACAAACAAAAUAAAAGAUGUCAUGUUU